This 468-nucleotide ribosomal RNA is filed under the name uncultured bacterium. RNAcentral's name for it is "partial 16S ribosomal RNA". It matches the Rfam family "Bacterial small subunit ribosomal RNA", at positions 29 to 507 of the family's 1533-position model. The record is from RNAcentral.
AACGAACGCUGGCGGUGUGCUUAACACAUGCAAGUCGAACGGUAAGGCCCUUUCGGGGGUACACGAGUGGCGCACGGGUGAGUAACACGUGAGUAACCUGCCCUCAUCUCUGGGAUAACAGUCGGAAACGGUUGCUAAUACUGGAUAUGAGCUUGCAAGGCAUCUUGUGGGUUGGAAAGAUUUUUUUUGGUUGGGGAUGGACUCGAGGCCUAUCAGCUUGUUGGUGAGGUAGUGGCUCACCAAGGCUUCGACGGGUAGCCGGCCUGAGAGGGCGACCGGCCACAUUGGGACUGAGAUACGGCCCAAACUCCUACGGGAGGCAGCAGUGGGGAAUAUUGCACAAUGGACGGAAGUCUGAUGCAGCAACGCCGCGUGCGGGAUGACGGCCUUCGGGUUGUAAACCGCUUUCAAUUGUGACGAAGCGUUUUUGUGACGGUAGCAGUAGAAGAAGCACCGGCUAACUACGUG